UACGUAUGGUGCGAGCGUUAAUCGGAAUUACUGGGCGUAAAGCGUGCGCAGGCGGUGAUGUAAGACCGAUGUGAAAUCCCCGGGCUUAACCUGGGAACUGCAUUGGUGACUGCAUCGCUGGAGUAUGGCAGAGGGGGGUAGAAUUCCACGUGUAGCAGUGAAAUGCGUAGAGAUGUGGAGGAAUACCGAUGGCGAGGGCAGCCCCCUGGGCCAAUACUGACGCUCAUGCACGAAAGCGUGGGGAUCAAAC
Molecule: ribosomal RNA, 250 nt
Filed under: uncultured bacterium
Lineage: Bacteria
Description: partial 16S ribosomal RNA
Rfam family: Bacterial small subunit ribosomal RNA
Source: RNAcentral